CAAUAGCGUAUAUUAAAGUUGUUGCAGUUAAAAAGCUCGUAGUUGAAUUUUUGCUUGCCGCCGAUGUCGGAACUUCCGUACGUUCGGCGGCGUGCAUCCUUGGGUGGAACCUGUGUGGCAUUAGGUUGUCGUGCAGGGGAUGCUCAUCGUUUACUGUGAAAAAAUUAGAGUGUUCAAAGCAGGCUUACGCCGUUGAAUAUAUUAGCAUGGAAUAAUAAGAUAGGACCUUGGUACUAUUUUGUUGGUUUGCGCACCGAGGUAAUGAUUAACAGGGACAGUUGGGGGUAUUCGUAUUCCAUUGUCAGAGGUGAAAUUCUUGGAUUUAUGAAAGACGAACUUCUGCGAAAGCAUUUGCCAAGGAUGUUUUCAUUAA
Molecule: ribosomal RNA, 373 nt
Filed under: uncultured eukaryote
Lineage: Eukaryota
Description: partial 18S ribosomal RNA
Rfam family: Eukaryotic small subunit ribosomal RNA
Source: RNAcentral